This is a non-coding RNA of Pelobates cultripes (western spadefoot toad), 242 nucleotides long. The record is from the annotation of a GenBank genome assembly. Lineage: Eukaryota; Metazoa; Chordata; Amphibia; Anura; Pelobatidae.
AUUUAAGACUAUGUCCUCUUGUUGUGGUAGUUUUCUUCUUUUAAAUAUAGUCUCCUCCUUUACUGUGUUGAUUCCCUUUAUGUAUUUAAAUGUUUCUAUCAUAUCCCCCCUGUCUCGUCUUUCCUCCAAGCUAUACAUGUUAAGAUCCUUUAACCUUUCCUGGUAAGUUUUAUCACGCAAUCCAUGAACCAGUUUAGUAGCCCUUCUCUGAACCCUCUCUAAGGUAUCAAUAUCCUUCUGAA